GUGAUGAUGAAAGAAUAGAUGGUUGGCAUCUCUCCUAGCAGGGACGGGAAUAGCUUUCGGGCUUACCUGUUACCACACAUUCCGGGGGGGACAUUAUUGU
Molecule: small nuclear RNA, 100 nt
Organism: Camellia sinensis
Lineage: Eukaryota; Viridiplantae; Streptophyta; Magnoliopsida; Ericales; Theaceae
Source: RefSeq, a predicted model, not a curated record